GAAGGGGGCGAGCGUUGUUCGGAUUUACUGGGCGUAAAGGGCGCGCAGGCGGCUAUUUUUGUCAGGCGUGAAAGCCCCGGGCUUAACCUGGGAACCGCGCUUGAGACGGGAUGGCUAGAGAUCGGGAGAGGAGAGUGGAAUUCCCAGUGUAGAGGUGAAAUUCGUAGAUAUUGGGAAGAACACCGGUGGCGAAGGCGGCUCUCUGGACCGAUACUGACGCUGAGGCGCGAAAGCGUGGGGAGCAAACAGGAUUAGAUACCCUGGUAGUCCACGCCCUAAACGAUGCGAACUGGACGUUGGGAGCAAUCAGGCUCUCAGUGUCGAAGCUAACGCGUUAAGUUCGCCGCCUGGGGAGUACGGUCGCAAGACUG
RNAcentral lists this ribosomal RNA (371 nucleotides) under uncultured bacterium. RNAcentral describes it as "bacterial SSU rRNA". It matches the Rfam family "Bacterial small subunit ribosomal RNA", at positions 527 to 896 of the family's 1533-position model. The record is from RNAcentral.